GAUAAGGUUAAGUGAAUAAGGGCGCACGGUGGAUGCCUUGGCACUAGGAGCCGAUGAAGGACGGGACUAACACCGAUAUGCUUUGGGGAGCUGUACGUAAGCUAUGAUCCAGAGAUUUCCGAAUGGGGAAACCCAACAUCUUUUAUAGGAUGUUACGUUUGCGUGAAUACAUAGCGCAUUCGAGGUAGACGCAGAGAACUGAAACAUCUAAGUACCUGCAGGAAGAGAAAGAAAAUUCGAUUCCCUGAGUAGCGGCGAGCGAAACGGGAAAAGCCCAAACCAAUGAGCUUGCUCAUUGGGGUUGUAGGACUCCAAUAUGGUAGUUCUUUCAGAUAAUCGAAUGACUUGGAAAAGUCAGUCAAAGAGGGUAAAAACCCCGUAGAUGAAAUUUGGAAGGCACCUAGGAGGAUCCUGAGUACGGCGGAACACGAGGAAUUCCGUCGGAAUCCGGGAGGACCAUCUCCCAAGGCUAAAUACUCCCUAGUGACCGAUAGUGAACCAGUACCGUGAGGGAAAGGUGAAAAGCACCCCGGAAGGGGAGUGAAAUAGAACCUGAAACCGUGUGCCUACAACAAGUCAAAGCCCGUUAAUGGGUGAUGGCGUGCCUUUUGUAGAAUGAACCGGCGAGUUACGAUUGCAUGCGAGGUUAAGUCGAAGAGACGGAGCCGCAGCGAAAGCGAGUCUGAAUAGGGCGUUUGAGUAUGUAGUCGUAGACCCGAAACCAUGUGAUCUACCCAUGUCCAGGUUGAAGGUGCGGUAAAACGCACUGGAGGACCGAACCCACGUACGUUGAAAAGUGCGGGGAUGAGGUGUGGGUAGCGGAGAAAUUCCAAACGAACUUGGAGAUAGCUGGUUCUCUCCGAAAUAGCUUUAGGGCUAGCCUCGGAUUUGAGAAUGAUGGAGGUAGAGCAGUGUCUGGAGUGGGGGCCCAACUCGGGUUGCCGAAUUGAGAUAAACU
This 958-nucleotide ribosomal RNA is filed under the name Bifidobacterium pseudocatenulatum. Its description in RNAcentral is "partial 23S ribosomal RNA". It matches the Rfam family "Bacterial large subunit ribosomal RNA", at positions 1 to 955 of the family's 2925-position model. The record is from RNAcentral. Lineage: Bacteria; Bacillati; Actinomycetota; Actinomycetes; Bifidobacteriales; Bifidobacteriaceae.